Long non-coding RNA from Octopus sinensis (East Asian common octopus), 158 nucleotides. RefSeq lists it as uncharacterized. The transcript is spliced from 3 exons. The record is from RefSeq and is a predicted model, not a curated record. NCBI's taxonomy places the organism in Eukaryota, Metazoa, Mollusca, Cephalopoda, Octopoda, Octopodidae.
ACACAGAAAGUGAUCUGAUGAACUCUCUCUCUUAGUUCCAGAUCACUUUGUGCCAUCUCACCAGACUCCAAACUCACAGUGUCUUUAUCCAAAUGCUGUUGUACUUCCAAUAAUAAGGAAGUCUUUCUAUAGUUGUAACCUUUUUCCUUGAACUGCCA